GCGAGAUUAGCUCACUUGGAUAGAGCGACAGCCUCCGGAGCUGUAGGUAGCACGUUCGAAUCGUGUAUCUCGCA
RNAcentral lists this transfer RNA (74 nucleotides) under Spirochaetia bacterium. Its description in RNAcentral is "tRNA-Arg". It matches the Rfam family "tRNA". From Rfam's summary of the family: Transfer RNA (tRNA) molecules are approximately 80 nucleotides in length. Lineage: Bacteria; Pseudomonadati; Spirochaetota; Spirochaetia. The record is from RNAcentral.